This 181-nucleotide ribosomal RNA is filed under the name uncultured Glomus. RNAcentral's name for it is "partial 18S ribosomal RNA". Lineage: Eukaryota; Fungi; Glomeromycota; Glomeromycetes; Glomerales; Glomeraceae. The record is from RNAcentral.
CGCCCGGUAAUUGCAGCUCCGGUGGACGUAUAUUAAAGUUGUUGCAGUUAAAAAGCUCGUAGUUGAAUUUCGGGAUUAGUGCGCCGGUCGUGCCUUCGGUAUGUACUGGUGUUACUGGUUCCUACCUUCUGACGAACNGUCAUGUCAUUAAUUUGGUGUGGCGGGGAAUCAGGACUGUUCC